UGAGGGGAAUUGUCAAUUAUGGCAACUUUUGUAAGAUCAACACCUAAUACAGUCAGAUCCUUUAUGUAAUUUCCAUGUGAAAAAAUGCAUGACUCGCGAUACACCCGGCGUGAAAUAAGUCUUCCAUCAGGAUCCAAUAUAUCAAGUAGUUGUUUUGCAUAUAUGCUUUGGCUGGCAGUAAAAAUAAUUACUUCAAACAUCUCUGACACUGUCUCCAAGAACGUCUGGAGGUUAGGCCUCUGUCUUACAUAUACUGUGUUCUCUUUCAUGUUGUAGAAAACAUUGAAAGUGAAAUCCGCAUCAUCACAAUGUUCAAGCGUGGAAUGAACAAGUGUCUCUGCACAAAAGCGAGUACAUAUUACUAAAGAUAACUACGUUUAGAAUCACACUCAUAUUCUAGUAAGACACACUAGAUUGGACCUAUGAUUGAAACGACAUUCAGUUCAUGACAGCAUUCACAUUGAAAUUUACAUCCAAUGCUAUAUGAAAUAAGUAUAACAUUAUUAACAAUCGCUAGGAAACAUGUUAAUUUCUUACCGUCUAAAUCCAGCACUAGGGUUACUGACUUUCUUCUUCGAGUCUGCUUCGGUAUUUGGGUGAACAGAUCAUUUGAUUCUAAAUCUGAUAGUUCUGUAAAAUUCUUGAUAAACAAUUGUGGAUCAAAGCACUCCAUCUUAUCAGAAUCAUUUUUAACAUCAGAAUCUUGAUUGAAAUUUCUUUUCGUCUGACACAAUGCUGAAUACAAGCUAGCAUUUUCUUUAACCAUCAUAGGUUCCUCGCAUGAUAUGCUAUCUUUUGUACUGCCAAAAUUAACAUCAUCUUCAAGGGCAGGCAGGACCAUGUUGUGGUCAGGUACAUCAAACAAGGUUGGCUCAUGAGACUUAUAAUCAGAAAUAUAGUUGAUGAUGUCAAAGUUAUCAUCAUCGAAGAAAUCUCCAAAGGGUAAGCUUGCCAUGAUCAUGUCAGAAAUGAAAAAGUCUGAUACAUCACAUGUUUCAUAGCCACAUAUGCUUCUUCUCUCAUCACUUUUAUCAGCACUUACUCCGGGCAUGUCAGUAUCACCAAUUCUCCCUAUUAUAGAACAGACAACCAAAACAUCAUAAUUUGCAAAUAGUCUUAGUCAUAAGUAAUAAGCAGCCAGAUAUAGUGGUGCAGGCAGUUUUUUUGUAGUCUACAUACAUGGCUUGAAACUCAAUAAAGCAAUGAAAGGAGCAAGGAUUAAUAUCAAGAAACAUUAUUGACUAGAAUAUGGCCAUAAGGCUAUUAUUGACUAUAUGCAAGAAACAUUCUAAGAUUCCAUUUUUCCAAUAUUGUCUUCAUUAAGCACAAGUGUCUCUACUAAUGUUAGAUUCCCCAAAAUAAACCUUAUGAAGCUUCUGUAAUGUACCUAGUUAUUAUCUCAUAAUCCCCUUAAUAUAUAUAUAGCAUUAGUAAGAAAAGAGAAAAACCUUAAAAGAAAUUAGAAAGUGCUUCAAAUAGGGAUGCUAAAGAACAAGAAACAGCAAAAAAGAGUGUCAGGUUAUGCACCUGAGGGGAAUUGUCAAUUAUGGCAACUUUUGUAAGAUCAACACCUAAUACAGUCAGAUCCUUUAUGUAAUUUCCAUGUGAAAAAAUGCAUGACUCGCGAUACACCCGGCGUGAAAUAAGUCUUCCAUCAGGAUCCAAUAUAUCAAGUAGUUGUUUUGCAUAUAUGCUUUGGCUGGCAGUAAAAAUAAUUACUUCAAACAUCUCUGACACUGUCUCCAAGAACGUCUGGAGGUUAGGCCUCUGUCUUACAUAUACUGUGUUCUCUUUCAUGUUGUAGAAAACAUUGAAAGUGAAAUCCGCAUCAUCACAAUGUUCA
This 1843-nucleotide long non-coding RNA is filed under the name Lupinus angustifolius (narrow-leaved blue lupine). RNAcentral describes it as "long non-coding RNA (LANG_LNC001992)". The record is from RNAcentral. Lineage: Eukaryota; Viridiplantae; Streptophyta; Magnoliopsida; Fabales; Fabaceae.